RNAcentral lists this long non-coding RNA (209 nucleotides) under Elaeis guineensis (African oil palm). RNAcentral's name for it is "long non-coding RNA (EGUI_LNC080997)". The record is from RNAcentral. Lineage: Eukaryota; Viridiplantae; Streptophyta; Magnoliopsida; Arecales; Arecaceae.
GUGGGUUUGAUUGCCAUGGGAUGUUUUAGUUAGGAAAAGGGAGGAGAUGGUAAGGCAAGCUGUAGAGGGCGGGGCUUUGAAAGCAAUUUGGAUUGGGAGCAGCAAGCCUAUUGCAGCAAGGAUUACAACUUAACGAGCUUGACGGUCUCAAAAGGAGAGGUCCUCUGGGUGAUUUAGAAUGAGAAUUGUUCAACAAAAUGCAAGCACUG